RNAcentral lists this ribosomal RNA (1369 nucleotides) under uncultured bacterium. RNAcentral describes it as "bacterial SSU rRNA". It matches the Rfam family "Bacterial small subunit ribosomal RNA", at positions 28 to 1381 of the family's 1533-position model. The record is from RNAcentral.
GACGAACGCUGGCGGCGUGCCUAAUACAUGCAAGUAGAACGCUGAAGAGAGGAGCUUGCUCUUCUUGGAUGAGUUGCGAACGGGUGAGUAACGCGUAGGUAACCUGCCUUGUAGCGGGGGAUAACUAUUGGAAACGAUAGCUAAUACCGCAUAACAAUGGAUGACACAUGUCAUUUAUUUGAAAGGGGCAAUUGCUCCACUACAAGAUGGACCUGCGUUGUAUUAGCUAGUAGGUGAGGUAACGGCUCACCUAGGCGACGAUACAUAGCCGACCUGAGAGGGUGAUCGGCCACACUGGGACUGAGACACGGCCCAGACUCCUACGGGAGGCAGUAGUAGGGAAUCUUCGGCAAUGGGGGCAACCCUGACCGAGCAACGCCGCGUGAGUGAAGAAGGUUUUCGGAUCGUAAAGCUCUGUUGUAAGUCAAGAACGAGUGUGAGAGUGGAAAGUUCACACUGUGACGGUAGCUUACCAGAAAGGGACGGCUAACUACGUGCCAGCAGCCGCGGUAAUACGUAGGUCCCGAGCGUUGUCCGGAUUUAUUGGGCGUAAAGCGAGCGCAGGCGGUUUGAUAAGUCUGAAGUUAAAGGCUGUGGCUCAACCAUAGUUCGCUUUGGAAACUGUCAAACUUGAGUGCAGAAGGGGAGAGUGGAAUUCCAUGUGUAGCGGUGAAAUGCGUAGAUAUAUGGAGGAACACCGGUGGCGAAAGCGGCUCUCUGGUCUGUAACUGACGCUGAGGCUCGAAAGCGUGGGGAGCGAACAGGAUUAGAUACCCUGGUAGUCCACGCCGUAAACGAUGAGUGCUAGGUGUUGGAUCCUUUCCGGGAUUCAGUGCCGCAGCUAACGCAUUAAGCACUCCGCCUGGGGAGUACGACCGCAAGGUUGAAACUCAAAGGAAUUGACGGGGGCCCGCACAAGCGGUGGAGCAUGUGGUUUAAUUCGAAGCAACGCGAAGAACCUUACCAGGUCUUGACAUCCCGAUGCUAUUUCUAGAGAUGGAAAGUUACCUCGGUACAUCGGUGACAGGUGGUGCAUGGUUGUCGUCAGCUCGUGUCGUGAGAUGUUGGGUUAAGUCCCGCAACGAGCGCAACCCCUAUUGUUAGUUGCCAUCAUUCAGUUGGGCACUCUAGCGAGACUGCCGGUAAUAAACCGGAGGAAGGUGGGGAUGACGUCAAAUCAUCAUGCCCCUUAUGACCUGGGCUACACACGUGCUACAAUGGUUGGUACAACGAGUUGCGAGUCGGUGACGGCAAGCUAAUCUCUUAAAGCCAAUCUCAGUUCGGAUUGUAGGCUGCAACUCGCCUACAUGAAGUCGGAAUCGCUAGUAAUCGCGGAUCAGCACGCCGCGGUGAAUACGUUCCCGGGCCU